AAUUAAGACUAGGGGUGUCCAUUAAGUUGGGCUGAGAGAGAAACGCGACUAAGUUUCUUAACCCUCAGGACCUGAUCUGGUUCAUACCAGCGUGGGGAAGUUAGCAUAACUUAAA
RNAcentral lists this non-coding RNA (115 nucleotides) under Bacillus sp. (in: firmicutes). Its description in RNAcentral is "Bacillus sp. TPP sequence". It matches the Rfam family "TPP riboswitch aptamer (THI element)". Rfam says of the family: Vitamin B(1) in its active form thiamin pyrophosphate (TPP) is an essential coenzyme that is synthesised by coupling of pyrimidine and thiazole moieties in bacteria. The previously detected thiamin-regulatory element, thi box was extended, resulting in a new, highly conserved RNA secondary structure, the THI element, which is widely distributed in eubacteria and also occurs in some archaea. Analysis of operon structures identified a large number of new candidate thiamin-regulated genes, mostly transporters, in various prokaryotic organisms. The record is from RNAcentral. Lineage: Bacteria; Bacillati; Bacillota; Bacilli; Caryophanales; Bacillaceae. RNAcentral also lists the same sequence under 1 other name.